GGACGAAAGUCUGAUGGAGCAACGCCGCGUGAGUGAAGAAGGUUUUCGGAUCGUAAAGCUCUGUUGUUGGUGAAGAAGGAUAGAGGUAGUAACUGGCCUUUAUUUGACGGUAAUCAACCAGAAAGUCACGGCUAACUACGUGCCAGCAGCCGCGGUAAUACGUAGGUGGCAAGCGUUGUCCGGAUUUAUUGGGCGUAAAGCGAGCGCAGGCGGAAGAAUAAGUCUGAUGUGAAAGCCCUCGGCUUAACCGAGGAACUGCAUCGGAAACUGUUUUUCUUGAGUGCAGAAGAGGAGAGUGGAACUCCAUGUGUAGCGGUGGAAUGCGUAGAUAUAUGGAAGAACACCAGUGGCGAAGGCGGCUCUCUGGUCUGCAACUGACGCUGAGGCUCGAAAGCAUGGGUAGCGAACAGGAUUAGAUACCCUGGUAGUCCAUGCCGUAAACGAUGAGUGCUAAGUGUUGGGAGGUUUCCGCCUCUCAGUGCUGCAGCUAACGCAUUAAGCACUCCGCCUGGGGAGUACGACCGCAAGGUUGAAACUCAAAGGAAUUGACGGGGGCCCGCACAAGCGGUGGAGCAUGUGGUUUAAUUCGAAGCAACGCGAAGAACCUUACCAGGUCUUGACAUCUAGUGCCAUCCUAAGAGAUUAGGAGUUCCCUUCGGGGACGCUA
RNAcentral lists this ribosomal RNA (667 nucleotides) under Lactobacillus acidophilus. Its description in RNAcentral is "bacterial SSU rRNA". It matches the Rfam family "Bacterial small subunit ribosomal RNA", at positions 373 to 1031 of the family's 1533-position model. Lineage: Bacteria; Bacillati; Bacillota; Bacilli; Lactobacillales; Lactobacillaceae. The record is from RNAcentral.